Panthera uncia (snow leopard) is the source of this 487-nucleotide long non-coding RNA. RefSeq lists it as uncharacterized. The record is from RefSeq and is a predicted model, not a curated record. NCBI's taxonomy places the organism in Eukaryota, Metazoa, Chordata, Mammalia, Carnivora, Felidae. The transcript has 3 exons.
GCAGGGCUGGAUCCCACAACUGUGAGAUCAUAAACGGAGCCAAAGUCAAGAGUUGGACGCUUAAUGGACUGAGCCACUCAGGUGCCCCUGAAGGAUGCCUGAGUUUCAAUGACCCUAGAGGAAGUGGACAGGAGGAGGCAACAUCCUUGAGAGACUCCAGCUGUAGGUCCUGAUUCAGUUGCGGAGCACAGAAGGGUCCUUUUGUCCGAGUAGGGAAACGGGUCAGAUUAUGCCAGGGGCAUUUCCGUGGUCAGGAGCUGAAGACGGACCAGGCCUGUGGAAAAGUAUGGUUGUCAUCACGAGGAAAGCAAACAAACACAGACUCUUAAGGCUAGAGAGUCUCUCCAUCUUGCCUCGGAACUGCCUUGUAUCUCUUACCUGGAAUUAGGAAGAAAUGGUGAGGACAGAAGAACUCGGAUUUCCUCUGCUUCACAAGAACAAUGUUAAAUGGUGUUAAGCGACGGCAGCCCAAAAGAUCUUUGGGGAG